This 358-nucleotide unclassified non-coding RNA is filed under the name Hevea brasiliensis (rubber tree). The record is from RNAcentral. Lineage: Eukaryota; Viridiplantae; Streptophyta; Magnoliopsida; Malpighiales; Euphorbiaceae.
CGUUUGCAUCAGUGAACGUGAUCCUGUACAUAAAUGGUGACUCAAAUUGAAGCCAUUAGCUUCAAGGAAUGCAAGCAAUGAAAAUGGAAGUGCAGAUCAUUUCCAAAGAAAAUGUUAAACCAUCUUCUUCAACACCAACUCACCUAAGAACCUUCAAAUUUUCCCUUUUAGAUCAGCUCAUUCCUUCUUCAUAUGCUCCACUUGUCCUCUUCUAUCCCAUGAAUAAAAACAUCAGCAAUCUUGAUGUCCCCAGCAGAUUAAAUCUGCUCAAAGCAUCUCUAUCACAGACCUUAACUUGGUUUUACCCCUUGGCUGGAAAAAUCAAAGAUGAACUUUCCAUCGAUUGCAAUGAUGAAGG